UACGUAGGGGGCAAGCGUUUGUCCGGAAUCAUUGGGCGUAAAGCGCGUGUAGGCGGCUUGGUAAGUCCGUUCUGAAAGCCCGGGGCUCAACCCCGGGAGGCGGAUGGAUACUGUCAAGCUUGAGUCCGGAAGAGGCGAGUGGAAUUCCCGGUGUAGCGGUGAAAUGCGCAGAUAUCGGGAGGAACACCAAUGGCGAAGGCAGCUCGCUGGGACGUGACUGACGCUGAGACGCGAAAGCGUGGGGAGCAAACAGG
This 254-nucleotide ribosomal RNA is filed under the name uncultured bacterium. Its description in RNAcentral is "partial 16S ribosomal RNA". It matches the Rfam family "Bacterial small subunit ribosomal RNA", at positions 524 to 776 of the family's 1533-position model. The record is from RNAcentral.